RNA transcript from Pyrus x bretschneideri (Chinese white pear), 1062 nucleotides. It is a transcript of the gene named 40S ribosomal protein S13-like, with no coding region annotated. NCBI's taxonomy places the organism in Eukaryota, Viridiplantae, Streptophyta, Magnoliopsida, Rosales, Rosaceae. The transcript has 6 exons. The record is from RefSeq and is a predicted model, not a curated record.
AAUAAUAAAUAAACAAAAUAAAAGAACCGAGUGAAAACGUACCCACUCUAUGUUGGGGUUUAUCGGCAGGCAACAAAGGAAGCCAAAACUUAGACUAACGAGGAAGGGGUUUGAGACGACGGCAAGGCAGUCAGGAUGGGGCGUAUGCACAGCGGAGGUAAGGGUAUUUCGGCUUCCGCUCUACCGUACAAGAGGACCCCUCCGAGCUGGUUGAAGAUAUCUACUCAGGAUGUUGAGGAGAACAUCUGCAAGUUUGCCAAGAAGGGCCUGACGCCCUCUCAAAUUGGUGUUAUUCUCCGUGAUUCUCAUGGGAUUGCUCAGGUGAAGAGUGUUACGGGAAGCAAGAUAUUGCGUAUUCUGAAGGCUCAUGGUCUUGCUCCAGAAAUUCCUGAGGAUUUGUACCACCUCAUCAAGAAAGCUGUCUCAAUCAGGAAGCAUUUGGAGAGGAACAGGAAGGACAAGGAUUCUAAGUUUAGACUGAUCCUGGUUGAGAGCAGAAUCCAUCGCCUUGCUCGUUACUACAAGAAGACAAAGAAGCUUCCCCCAGUGUGGAAAUAUGAAUCUACCACCGCCAGCACUCUUGUGGCUUAAGUCCGAUAUGAUUGGCACCAAUUUCGGGUGUACACAUUAAAAGCAGGACCAGUUUUUAGUUUGUUAUCUUCUUUGUUUGCUUCAAUUUGGGAACUAAAUGAACAUCACAUCAGAUUCGGGGCGUGUGGUCCAACACAAGACAAAGAGAUCGGGUUUGGUGGUCGGGUGGAUUUUUUAUGGGAAUGAGACAGAGAUCGGAAGAGAAAUGUGGUGGUGGCUGAUGAUGGUGAUGAGUUGAGGACGCAGUGUGGUUCCCGUCGGUUAUGAUGGAUGUUGGGUUCUGUUUUUAAAUUAUUUAUUUUUGGAUUAAUGAUAGGGUUUAAAUGUGGUGAGAAUGCCAACGUAAUUACGGUUGGUAUGACGAAUCGAAGCAGGAGCUUUGUGAUGUUUUGGUUAUGGUUUCAGUAGGUGCAGACAGCCUGCCCAAAAUGAAAUUUCGUAAGGGUUCCAUUCCACUUACGAAUUGCAUUA